UGUAAUCAGCUCUUUUGCAAUUGAGAGGAGGAGGAGGAGAAAAACAGAAAGCAGUGCGGGCAACGGCGCUUGCGCUUGUGUCUACUUGGAACUUGCUUCAAAGAAAAAGCUUCAGGAUGGA
Molecule: non-coding RNA, 121 nt
Organism: Caenorhabditis elegans
Lineage: Eukaryota; Metazoa; Nematoda; Chromadorea; Rhabditida; Rhabditidae
Source: Ensembl